Molecule: long non-coding RNA, 513 nt
Filed under: Olea europaea subsp. europaea
Lineage: Eukaryota; Viridiplantae; Streptophyta; Magnoliopsida; Lamiales; Oleaceae
Source: RNAcentral
CACAAGCCAAAUUAAAUAGCUACAAAAAUAUGAAAUUAUCGAAAAAUUACCAAAAAUGGCAAAAUCCUAACGAUCACACUGAAAUAAAAUAUGAAAUAAAAGAAGUAAGUUGCCAAAAAUUUGGCUCAAUCCGGAUUCUCUAACGUCUAGAAAAAAACGAAAUAUUACCAUAAAUAGUAAAAAAUAACUAAAAAUUGAAUUUUCGAAAGGAAAAUAAUGGAUUUUGGGCUCGAAAUUGACACUCAUUGAGCAUAGCUAGGUGACAACAAUGUGUGCGCUGAAGAGAGCUUUCCGAAUUGGGGUCAUAAUAGUGAUUCUAAUAACCAUAGUCAAAGUUAUGGUCAAAUUACCAAAAUUGUGCCAAAAUUGCCCCCAAUUAAGGAAAUAUUGCAUUUAUUUUCCACCUUUGUGCCGAUCCGCCAUCUCAUGGUAUCUCAGCGCCAUCAACGAGCUAUCUGACACAUCAGCAUCAUUCGACUCGAAUCCUCCUACACUCAGAUCCUCCUACAUCAG